Molecule: microRNA precursor, 98 nt
Filed under: Rhodnius prolixus
Lineage: Eukaryota; Metazoa; Arthropoda; Insecta; Hemiptera; Reduviidae
Description: microRNA miR-71 precursor
Rfam family: mir-71 microRNA precursor family (bases 16-88)
Source: RNAcentral
AGAGAGAUGUGGUUGCCCGUAUGAAAGACAUGGGUAGUGAGAUGGGUAAGUAGGAUCUACAUCUCACUACCUUGUCUUUCAUGCGGACCCAUGUCCAA